GAUGAACGCUGGCGGCGUGCCUAAUACAUGCAAGUCGAGCGAACGGACGAGAAGCUUGCCUCUCUGAUGUUAGCGGCGGACGGGUGAGUAACACGUGGAUAACCUACCUAUAAGACUGGGAUAACUUCGGGAAACCGGAGCUAAUACCGGAUGAUAUUUUGAACCGCAUGGUUCAAAAGUGAAAGACGGUCUUGCUGUCACUUAUAGAUGGAUCCGCGCUGCAUUAGCUAGUUGGUAAGGUAACGGCUUACCAAGGCAACGAUGCAUAGCCGACCUGAGAGGGUGAUCGGCCACACUGGAACUGAGACACGGUCCAGACUCCUACGGGAGGCAGCAGUAGGGAAUCUUCCGCAAAGGGCGAAAGCCUGACGGAGCAACGCCGCGUGAGUGAUGAAGGUCUUCGGAUCGUAAAACUCUGUUAUUAGGGAAGAACAUAUGUGUAAGUAACUGUGCACAUCUUGACGGUACCUAAUCAGAAAGCCACGGCUAACUACGUG
This 497-nucleotide ribosomal RNA is filed under the name uncultured bacterium. Its description in RNAcentral is "partial 16S ribosomal RNA". It matches the Rfam family "Bacterial small subunit ribosomal RNA", at positions 28 to 507 of the family's 1533-position model. The record is from RNAcentral.